Non-coding RNA from Pelobates cultripes (western spadefoot toad), 230 nucleotides. The record is from the annotation of a GenBank genome assembly. Lineage: Eukaryota; Metazoa; Chordata; Amphibia; Anura; Pelobatidae.
GUUUCUCUUUCUGCAGUGGAGUCAGACCUCUAUCAGCAGUUCAUCUUUAUUUAUUAACUUUGGAUCUGUGUGCCUUCCUGUGAUUUUGUUUUAUUUUUUGCUUUUAACUAUCUUGUUGCCACGUGGUCCAUACUUUAAAAGAAUGGUUGUGGUGGUGGCAUGGGGGAUUCCAAAUUCUAUUUCACAAGUAACAGAAUUCAGUUUUGCUUUCCUGAUGACCAAAACAGAUG